CCUACGAGAGGCAGCAGUGGGGAAUAUUGCACAAUGGGGGAAACCCUGAUGCAGCAACGCCGCGUGAGUGAAGAAGUCAUUCGUGAUGUAAAGCUCUAUCAGCAGGGAAGAAAAUGACGGUACCUGACUAAGAAGCCCCGGCUAACUACGUGCCAGCAGCCGCGGUAAUACGUAGGGGGCGAGCGUUAUCCGGAUUCACUGGGUGUAAAGGGAGCGUAGACGGCCAUGCAAGCCAGGGGUGAAAGCCCGGGGCCCAACCCCGGGACUGCCCUUGGAACUGCAUGGCUGGAGUGCGGGAGGGGCAGGCGGAAGGCCUGGGGGAGCGGUGAAAGGCGUAGAGAUCAGGAGGAACAGCGGCGGCGAAGGCGGCCGGCUGGACUGCGACUGACGUUGAGGCGCGAAGGCGUGGGGAGCGAACAGGAUUAGAUACCCUGGUAGUG
Molecule: ribosomal RNA, 440 nt
Filed under: uncultured bacterium
Lineage: Bacteria
Description: partial 16S ribosomal RNA
Rfam family: Bacterial small subunit ribosomal RNA
Source: RNAcentral